AGCACGAAUUUGGAUUCAAUAUUUCGACCAUCAAAAGUUUGAUUUGUUCCAUAGAUCUUGAAGAGCCAGAAUGCCACGUCGUGGAAAAAGUAGCAAACCAAGCUAUGGCCGGACGACCGGGAGUCCGUACAUCCACAAGCCGCUUCCUAGCGGUGUUCCAGUACCUAUGUGCUUUUGUGGUGAUCCUUGCAAGGUAGAAAUUUCGGAAGACGAGGAAACCUAUCGGCAGAGGUAUUGGAUGUGUUCCAAUUUUGCCUGGGAGCCUACUCCAAAACAACGCCGCAGUAACUUUAUUACCCCUCCACCAUUGUGUGAUUUUGAGCAGUGGAUCGACACUGAGAUUAAGGAGUCCGACAAGCGGCUUCUACAAGGCCUAAAGGAGUGGGAUGCAGAGCGUGCAGAGAUAUUAGAGAAGAGACGUAGAG
This is a long non-coding RNA of Sorghum bicolor (sorghum), 425 nucleotides long. RefSeq lists it as uncharacterized. The record is from RefSeq and is a predicted model, not a curated record. NCBI's taxonomy places the organism in Eukaryota, Viridiplantae, Streptophyta, Magnoliopsida, Poales, Poaceae. The transcript has 4 exons.